This 431-nucleotide ribosomal RNA is filed under the name uncultured rumen bacterium. RNAcentral's name for it is "bacterial SSU rRNA". It matches the Rfam family "Bacterial small subunit ribosomal RNA", at positions 354 to 776 of the family's 1533-position model. The record is from RNAcentral.
GCUAAGAAUAUUCCGCAAUGCACGAAAGUGUGACGGAGCGACGCCGCGUGGACGAUGAAGGCCGGAAGGUUGUAAAGUCCUUUUUAAUAUGAGGAAUAAGGAAGGUGAGAGAAACGCCUUCUGGUGACUGUAGUAUUAGAAUAAGGGGCGGCUAAUUACGUGCCAGCAGCCGCGGUAACACGUAAGCCCCGAGCGUUGUUCGGAAUUAUUGGGCGUAAAGGGCAUGUAGGCGGUUUUGCAAGUCUGGUGUGAAAGGCAGGAGCUCAACUCCUGGACUGCGCUGGAAACUGCAUGACUUGAGUUUCUGAGGGGCACUCGGAAUUCCUGGUGUAGGGGUGAAAUCUGUAGAUAUCAGGAAGAACACCGGUGGCGAAGGCGGGGUGCCAGCAGAAGACUGACGCUGAGGUGCGAAGGUGCGGGGAGCAAACAGG